GGGCAACCUGUAGUCUAGUGGCUAAGAUACAUGGCUGGAGUUCCUGAAGUCAGGGGUUCAAGUCCCAGUCUUGCUCC
Albula goreensis is the source of this 77-nucleotide non-coding RNA. NCBI's taxonomy places the organism in Eukaryota, Metazoa, Chordata, Actinopteri, Albuliformes, Albulidae. The record is from the annotation of a GenBank genome assembly.